Molecule: ribosomal RNA, 548 nt
Filed under: uncultured bacterium
Lineage: Bacteria
Description: bacterial SSU rRNA
Rfam family: Bacterial small subunit ribosomal RNA
Source: RNAcentral
CAAGCGAAAGCAUUAAGUAUUCCACCUGGGGAGUACGCCGGCAACGGUGAAACUCAAAGGAAUUGACGGGGGCCCGCACAAGCGGAGGAACAUGUGGUUUAAUUCGAUGAUACGCGAGGAACCUUACCCGGGCUUAAAUUGCACCUGAAUAAUGUGGAAACAUGUUAGCCGUAAGGCAGGUGUGAAGGUGCUGCAUGGUUGUCGUCAGCUCGUGCCGUGAGGUGUCGGCUUAAGUGCCAUAACGAGCGCAACCCUUAUCUUCAGUUACUAACAGGUCAUGCUGAGGACUCUGGAGAGACUGCCGUCGUAAGAUGUGAGGAAGGUGGGGAUGACGUCAAAUCAGCACGGCCCUUACGUCCGGGGCUACACACGUGUUACAAUGGGAGGUACAGAAGGCCGCUACCUGGCGACAGGAUGCCAAUCCCCAAAACCUCUCUCAGUUCGGAUCGAAGUCUGCAACCCGACUUCGUGAAGCUGGAUUCGCUAGUAAUCGCGCAUCAGCCAUGGCGCGGUGAAUACGUUCCCGGGCCUUGUACUCACCGCCCGUC